AUGAGCCACGAGGCCGGCGGCGACGAGAUAGCCCUCCGCUGCCGCCACCCGCCGACGGCCGCGCCGCUGGACGACGAGGACCUCCUCGGGGAGAUCCUCCUCCGCGUCCCCCCGCUUCCCUCCUCGCUCCUCCGCGCCUCCCUCGUCUCCAAGCUACGCGGAGGCGUCGCCACCGCCCCCUCCUUCAGCCGCCGCUUCGUCGCCCACCACCGGAGGCCCCCCGUCCUCAGUUUCUUCUAG
RNAcentral lists this ribosomal RNA (240 nucleotides) under Triticum aestivum (bread wheat). RNAcentral describes it as "partial small subunit ribosomal RNA". Lineage: Eukaryota; Viridiplantae; Streptophyta; Magnoliopsida; Poales; Poaceae. The record is from RNAcentral.